GAGUUUGAUCAUGGCUCAGGAUGAACGCUAGCGGCAGGCCUAAUACAUGCAAGUCGAACGGAGCAGCAAUGCUCAGUGGCGCACGGGUGCGUAACGCGUAUGCAACCUACCGCUUCCUGGGGGAUAGCCCACCGAAAGGUGGAUUAAUACCGCAUAAGAAUACAGAAUGGCAUCAUUUAGUAUCUAAAGAUUUAUCGGGAAGCGAUGGGCAUGCGUGACAUUAGUUUGUUGGUGAGGUAACGGCUCACCAAGACUACGAUGUCUAGGGGUUCUGAGAGGAAGAUCCCCCACACUGGUACUGAGAUACGGACCAGACUCCUACGGGAGGCAGCAGUAGGGAAUAUUGGGCAAUGGAGGCAACUCUGACCCAGCCAUGCCGCGUGAAGGAAGAAGGCUUUCUGAGUUGUAAACUUCUUUUGACAGGGAGGAAACACCGCUACGUGUAGCGGGACUGACGGUACCUGUAGAAUAAGCACCGGCUAACUCCGUGCCAGCAGCCGCGGUAAUACGGAGGGUGCAAGCGUUGUCCGGAUUUAUUGGGUUUAAAGGGUGCGUAGGCGGCCCGUUAAGUCAAUGCUGAAAGCCUGUGGCUUAACCAUAGGACUGGCAAUGAUACUGGCGGGCUUGAGUACAGACGAGGUAGGCGGAAUUGAUAAUGUAGCGGUGAAAUGCAUAGAUAUUAUCAGGAACUCCGAUUGCGAAGGCAGCUUACUAGGCUGUAACUGACGCUGAGGCACGAAAGUGUGGGGAG
This 751-nucleotide ribosomal RNA is filed under the name uncultured Gammaproteobacteria bacterium. Its description in RNAcentral is "bacterial SSU rRNA". It matches the Rfam family "Bacterial small subunit ribosomal RNA", at positions 9 to 768 of the family's 1533-position model. Lineage: Bacteria; Pseudomonadati; Pseudomonadota; Gammaproteobacteria. The record is from RNAcentral.